RNAcentral lists this ribosomal RNA (491 nucleotides) under uncultured bacterium. Its description in RNAcentral is "partial 16S ribosomal RNA". It matches the Rfam family "Bacterial small subunit ribosomal RNA", at positions 29 to 506 of the family's 1533-position model. The record is from RNAcentral.
AGUGAACGCUGGCGGUGGGCCUAACACAUGCCAGUCGAACGGCAGCACAGUAAGAGCUUGCUCUUACGGGUGGCGAGUGGCGGACGGGUGAGGAAUACAUCGGAAUCUACUUUUUCGUGGGGGAUAACGUAGGGAAACUUACGCUAAUACCGCAUACGACCUACGGGUGAAAGCAGGGGAUCUUCGGACCUUGCGCGAUUGAAUGAGCCGAUGUCGGAUUAGCUAGUUGGCGGGGUAAAGGCCCACCAAGGCGACGAUCCGUAGCUGGUCUGAGAGGAUGAUCAGCCACACUGGAACUGAGACACGGUCCAGACUCCUACGGGAGGCAGCAGUGGGGAAUAUUGGACAAUGGGCGCAAGCCUGAUCCAGCCAUACCGCGUGGGUGAAGAAGGCCUUCGGGUUGUAAAGCCCUUUUGUUGGGAAAGAAAAGCAGCAGGUUAAUACCCCGCUGUUCUGACGGUACCCAAAGAAUAAGCACCGGCUAACUUCGU